UCUGCACACAGUAAGCACUCAAUAAAUACAACUGAAUGAACGACUGAAUUGAAUGAAUUACCCACCACUCAAUAGCCAUUCAUCUUAUCUUGAGCGACUCCAUCUCCCUGAGUUGAAAGGCAAAGAAACCUGGAUCCAGAGAAGAUCUUGGGAAUUCACCACCUCUCCCAAGUGGUUUAAUUUGAAGAAGAAGGCAGCGGUAACUUCUAGUGGGUGACCCAGCCUGGAAAUGGAAAACGAGACCUCACUUGUCACCCGUUUUACCGUGUUUUGCAAAUUAUCAGCCUUUAAUAAAUGUCAGUACUGCAACUGUUACUAUCAGAA
Ornithorhynchus anatinus (platypus) is the source of this 324-nucleotide long non-coding RNA. RefSeq lists it as uncharacterized. The transcript is spliced from 2 exons. NCBI's taxonomy places the organism in Eukaryota, Metazoa, Chordata, Mammalia, Monotremata, Ornithorhynchidae. The record is from RefSeq and is a predicted model, not a curated record.